This 747-nucleotide ribosomal RNA is filed under the name Agrococcus jenensis. RNAcentral describes it as "bacterial SSU rRNA". It matches the Rfam family "Bacterial small subunit ribosomal RNA", at positions 98 to 857 of the family's 1533-position model. Lineage: Bacteria; Bacillati; Actinomycetota; Actinomycetes; Micrococcales; Microbacteriaceae. The record is from RNAcentral.
GCGAACGGGUGAGUAAUACGUGAGCAAUGUGCCCUUGACUCUGGGAUAAGCGCUGGAAACGGCGUCUAAUACCGGAUACGACCCUCGGAGGCAUCUCCUGUGGGUGGAAAGAACUUCGGUCAAGGAUCAGCUCACGGCCUAUCAGCUUGUUGGUGAGGUAAUGGCUCACCAAGGCGACGACGGGUAGCCGGCCUGAGAGGGUGACCGGCCACACUGGGACUGAGACACGGCCCAGACUCCUACGGGAGGCAGCAGUGGGGAAUAUUGCACAAUGGGCGCAAGCCUGAUGCAGCAACGCCGCGUGAGGGACGAAGGCCUUCGGGUUGUAAACCUCUUUUAGCAGGGAAGAAGCGAAAGUGACGGUACCUGCAGAAAAAGCACCGGCUAACUACGUGCCAGCAGCCGCGGUAAUACGUAGGGUGCAAGCGUUGUCCGGAAUUAUUGGGCGUAAAGAGCUCGUAGGCGGUUUGUCGCGUCUGCUGUGAAAACCCGAGGCUCAACCUCGGGCUUGCAGUGGGUACGGGCAGACUAGAGUGCGGUAGGGGAGAUUGGAAUUCCUGGUGUAGCGGUGGAAUGCGCAGAUAUCAGGAGGAACACCGAUGGCGAAGGCAGAUCUCUGGGCCGUAACUGACGCUGAGGAGCGAAAGCAUGGGGAGCAAACAGGCUUAGAUACCCUGGUAGUCCAUGCCGUAAACGUUGGGAACUAGAUGUGGGGACCAUUCCACGGUCUCCGUGUCGUAGCUAACG